Equus caballus (horse) is the source of this 2921-nucleotide long non-coding RNA. NCBI's taxonomy places the organism in Eukaryota, Metazoa, Chordata, Mammalia, Perissodactyla, Equidae. The record is from Ensembl.
CCUGGCCCGGCUGGCUGGCUCUCUGCUCCACCCCGAGGGCACCACGCAGUCACGGGAAGGCGCACUGAAGCAGCGAGGGCCCCCUCGGUUAGCACUGGAAAAUCGGUUCCUAGAAUUUGACCAGUGAAUCAUAGUGAAGAAAUGCAAACUCGAGUGCAUUUCUUGUUUUUCCUCCUUCCCCUUGAGAGAUGGCGGCCCUCGCUGGGCCGCACCCCACCCCACGCAGACGCGGAAGGAGAUAGCACCCUCCAGCCUCAUCAGGAAUGGGUAAACCUGACCCCAGCCCAGCUUGUCCAGUUGCCUGUCAGGCAACAUAAGCUCUGGGAUGCCCCCAGGACAACCAAGCUGAUCCAGUCAAGGAAGCACAUUCUAGGAGACGAAACAGCAUGUGCAAAGGCCCUGGGGAAGAAAAGGGGACCUGAAGUGAGGGAAACUUUGCAGGGCAAGAUCUGCGGAGCCAUGGGGGCACAAAUGCCCAUGUUUCCACAGGGGAGUCAGACCCUAAACCCCACCAUUCCCCAUCAGGUGCCAGCUAACUCAGGCCCCAUGCCUUCUCACAGAUGAGAAAACUGAGCUGCAAAGAGCUAGAGUGGCUGGUCCUGGUUUAGAGAGAACAUAUGCCCAAAACGUUAACUCGGGAGGAAACAGGAGCACCGGAACACGAGUCCGAGAGCCUGGCUCCAGGCCAGCCCUGCCCUGCGAGGAGACCCACAGCCUCGUGGGGCCAUCUGGCUCCUGCCCCAACGGUCUGCAGGUCAGCCAGGGUGAUUCUGUUUCAUUCUGUGGGUCGGCUUGAUCGAGCUCCAGGCCACAGGGUGGAUUUGGCUCAGCUCCAUGACUGUCUUCUAGCACCAUCAGCUGCCUGGGACAUGCUGGCCUUGCAGCACAUGGCAGAAGCUUAAGCAGCCAGGCCAAAAAACAACCACGUUGCAAGCCAGUGCUUUGUCACCUCCACUAAUUGACCAACAAAUUGACCAAAGCAAGUGGAUGGCCAAGCCCUUGCUUCAGUGGGCUGGGGAAAUCCUCUGCACCCUCCAGGGGAUGGCACUGCAGAGUCCCCUGGCAACGAGCACAGGCGUGUGACCCCGUUACAGGAGGGAACGAGAACUUGAGAAUAAUAUCCAACUUGCCCCAAGAGGUUUCAGCGAUGAGAACUCCAGCCUCACGUGGGGACACACGUGACCCAAGGUUACACAGCUGGUUACGGUGAUUGCAAUUGGGAUUCUGACCCGGGCUGUCUGACGCCAAAGCCGCUCUGUCCCCACAGAUGGUCACAAGGACCUGCUACAGAAGAGGUGCUCAGUAAAUUACUAAUGCAUUAUUAAAGUGUACGCCUCAAAGACAUUGCAGUCGAUGAAACCAUUGCAUUAUUCUUAAAAAGAAACUUUAAAGAAAAGGGAAAAAAUGAUCAGACAAUAAACGCAAUGUUAGCACCCGGUGCAGGACUGGAUUCUGAAGAUCAUCAGGAGAGGGCUGGGGCCCAGCGUGCUCAGCAAGAACCAGGAGGCUCCGGUGACCGAACGAGGGGCUGGCCCUGGAAAGGGGAGGCUGCCCCGGGGGGAGACGCCAAAGGAGGCCUGGUUCUUCUCAAGAACCAAAGGCUGAGAGAGAGCCUGCCGGCCUGGAGACAGAGCAGCCGUAGGGAAGGAGAGAGGUGGGUCCGCCCCUCGCAUGGCGGCAGGGAGGGUGAGGCACCGCGCAGACCAGGAGUGGAGCGAGGGCGGCUGUGGGACUCAGGGAAGAGGGCCAAGGCUGCGGUCGGUUCCAACAUGCCGCCCGCCCUCCAUCUCUUGGGGUGCGGAAGUGGUCAGGGGUGAAACGGGGAGGAUGUGCCCCUGCUCAGUGGGACCUUCAAUCCUUUGCUUUGUGACCCAGCAUGUGAGUCACACGAUGCCUUGGAGUUUCAGCAAAAACAAAGGGAAGAUGUUCAGUGAGAGGAAAGGAUGGAGCAUCCGCCCCGCCUGUGGAUGAGCACAGAGGAGGGACGUGCAGCUGACAGAUGAAGUGACAGCGCCGGGCCGUCUCCACUUGGCCGCACCCCCGCCCCGAAUCAACGGCCCAGGCAGUCACGGGCACCCACCUGCUGACCUCCAAAAAGCAGGAACAGAGGGCCUCGCGCCUGGUGGGGAAACGCCACACCUGUGCCGUCGUCUUGCCAGACACCGCACACCUGAAUCUGGACUGGCCUCUAGGCCCGGUGCCGACCUACAGGAAGUACACGGAGCAGAGAAACAGGUUCAAAACCACCACGGGGGCGCAGUCAGCCAAAGCCAGGCCAAAGGAGACCCUCCAGGACAACACAUCGCGAGGACAGCACGAGGCUGGGGGGCCUUUAGAGAGGAGAUUUCCAAUACUGUGUAGACGCCGCUGGCUCAAAUAAAAAUAAUUACCCAUGAGUGCAGGUUGUAUAUAUUUUACAUGCUAUGCAGUUAUAUGUUGACUACGUAAAUAGAAUUAUAGAUUAAAUAUCUAGUAUUUGAAUACACUAAAUAUUAUAUUAAAUAGAGAUGUGUUUAAAUAUUAAAUAUAAAUUGAGACCAUUGGAAAUUUGAUGACGUCACGUAGGUGUUUUACAUGUAUAAUUAUGUAUGGAACGGAUUUACACUUAUGAGAAACGCGAUGGCAUUGAUUUGGGUUUCUUAGGUAUUGUAGCUACGUAUUAAGUUUUGCAAGGCCCUCACUUUUCAGAGCUGCAUACUGAAGUAUUUCCAGAUGAAACAAUAUGAUGUCUGGGAUUUGCUUCAAAGUAAACAGGGAGAGGAAGGAGCGGGGACAGACGUGAAAUGGACUGAGCGUGAGCGAGCGUCGGGACAGCGGGGUGAGGGGCACACGGGCUGACAGACUAUUCUCUCUUUUUGUAAAUGUCUGAAAAUUUCCAUCAUGAGAAGAUAAAGCUAAGUAACUCCAAUAAUAAAUAAUUU